This 468-nucleotide ribosomal RNA is filed under the name uncultured bacterium. RNAcentral's name for it is "partial 16S ribosomal RNA". It matches the Rfam family "Bacterial small subunit ribosomal RNA", at positions 28 to 507 of the family's 1533-position model. The record is from RNAcentral.
GACGAACGCUGGCGGCGUGCUUAACACAUGCAAGUCGAACGGAAAGGCCCUGCUUUUGUGGGGUGCUCGAGUGGCGAACGGGUGAGUAACACGUGAGUAACCUGCCCUUGACUUUGGGAUAACUUCAGGAAACUGGGGCUAAUACCGGAUAGGAUCUCCUGCUGCAUGGUGGGGGUUGGAAAGUUUCGGCGGUUGGGGAUGGACUCGCGGCUUAUCAGCUUGUUGGUGGGGUAGUGGCUUACCAAGGCUUUGACGGGUAGCCGGCCUGGGAGGGUGACCGGCCACAUUGGGACUGAGAUACGGCCCAGACUCCUACGGGAGGCAGCAGUGGGGAAUAUUGCACAAUGGGCGGAAGCCUGAUGCAGCAACGCCGCGUGCGGGAUGACGGCCUUCGGGUUGUAAACCGCUUUCGCCUGUGACGAAGCGUGAGUGACGGUAAUGGGUAAAGAAGCACCGGCUAACUACGUG